GUCGAACGGCAGCACGGGGGCAAUCCUGGUGGCGAGUGGCGAACGGGUGAGUAAUAUAUCGGAACGUGUCCAUGAGUGGGGGAUAGCCCGGCGAAAGCCGGAUUAAUACCGCAUAAGACCUGAGGGUGAAAGCGGGGGAUCUUCGGACCUCGCGCUGAUGGAGCGGCCGAUACCAGAUUAGGUAGUUGGUGAGGUAAAGGCUCACCAAGCCUGCGAUCUGUAGCUGGUCUGAGAGGAUGGCCAGCCACACUGGGACUGAGACACGGCCCAGACUCCUACGGGAGGCAGCAGUGGGGAAUUUUGGACAAUGGGCGCAAGCCUGAUCCAGCCAUGCCGCGUGCGGGAAGAAGGCCUUCGGGUUGUAAACCGCUUUUGUCAGGGAAGAAAUCCUUUGGGUUAAUAACUCGGAGGGAUGACGGUACCUGAAGAAUGAGCACCGGCUAACUACGUGCCAGCAGCCGCGGUAAUACGUAUGGUGGCAGCGUUAAUCGGAAUUACUGGGCGUAA
This 507-nucleotide ribosomal RNA is filed under the name uncultured bacterium. RNAcentral describes it as "bacterial SSU rRNA". It matches the Rfam family "Bacterial small subunit ribosomal RNA", at positions 61 to 563 of the family's 1533-position model. The record is from RNAcentral.